Molecule: long non-coding RNA, 482 nt
Filed under: Equus asinus (donkey)
Lineage: Eukaryota; Metazoa; Chordata; Mammalia; Perissodactyla; Equidae
Description: lncRNA (ENSEASG00005030201.1)
Source: RNAcentral
CGGGGUUGUAACCAAGCUUUCUGGGUGGUUCUGGUGCCUGUGAAAGUUUGAGAAUCACCAUGCUAAGGUGAGAUGCUACUGCAAUUUGGAUUCUCCUUGGCAAAGACUUGGAAUCCUCCCCCAGCUUGAGGUUCUGGCUAAGAUUCUUGGAAGAAGGAUUCUAGGUUUCAGCUUCUUUGCUCAGAGCAAAAUUGCAGAAUUGAAGAAAGCAAAGUUCAGCUGCAUAUAAAAGGAAAUGGAGGGAGUACAGAACUGCACAUCCACUGCAAAGAGGAUGGCAAGGAUGUCCUGGCUGUGGAUUGCUGGGAACACACCUCAGAGACGUGUUCAGCAGAGAUCUGUGGAGAAGAGCUACAGCCAAAGGCCGGAGGAGAAUUCUACGUGUACCUGCCUAGAAUGAUUGCUGGGUAGAGGUGUGAUCUUUUCAACUUCCCCUUCCAAAGCAUUCACUCUAAUAAAAAUACUGAGAUGAAAUAAUGAUC